UCUAGCGGCGGACGGGUUAGUAACGCGUGGGAACGUGCCCUUCUCUGCGGAAUAGCCACUGGAAACGGUGAGUAAUACCGCAUACGCCCUUCGGGGGAAAGAUUUAUCGGAGAAGGAUCGGCCCGCGUUAGAUUAGAUAGUUGGUGGGGUAACGGCCUACCAAGUCUACGAUCUAUAGCUGGUUUUAGAGGAUGAUCAGCAACACUGGGACUGAGACACGGCCCAGACUCCUACGGGAGGCAGCAGUGGGGAAUCUUAGACAAUGGGCGCAAGCCUGAUCUAGCCAUGCCGCGUGUGUGAUGAAGGUCUUAGGAUCGUAAAGCACUUUCGCCAGGGAUGAUAAUGACAGUACCUGGUAAAGAAACCCCGGCUAACUCCGUGCCAGCAGCCGCGGUAAUACGGAGGGGGUUAGCGUUGUUCGGAAUUACUGGGCGUAAAGCGCGCGUAGGCGGAUUGGAAAGUUGGGGGUGAAAUCCCGGGGCUCAACCCCGGAACUGCCUCCAAAACUAUCAGUCUAGAGUUCGAGAGAGGUGAGUGGAAUUCCAAGUGUAGAGGU
RNAcentral lists this ribosomal RNA (556 nucleotides) under marine sediment bacterium BB0608_2216_8.2_3S0. RNAcentral's name for it is "bacterial SSU rRNA". It matches the Rfam family "Bacterial small subunit ribosomal RNA", at positions 91 to 682 of the family's 1533-position model. The record is from RNAcentral.